AGAGGGAAGUAUUUAGGGUGUACGCGGAGUUUUGAUCUCCUAGGUGUGGGUUCGAUUCCCCCCCUUCUAA
This 70-nucleotide transfer RNA is filed under the name Megophrys feae (Kakhien Hills spadefoot toad). RNAcentral's name for it is "tRNA-Gln". It matches the Rfam family "tRNA". From Rfam's summary of the family: Transfer RNA (tRNA) molecules are approximately 80 nucleotides in length. Their secondary structure includes four short double-helical elements and three loops (D, anti-codon, and T loops). Lineage: Eukaryota; Metazoa; Chordata; Amphibia; Anura; Megophryidae. The record is from RNAcentral.